Molecule: long non-coding RNA, 443 nt
Filed under: Oryza sativa Indica Group (long-grained rice)
Lineage: Eukaryota; Viridiplantae; Streptophyta; Magnoliopsida; Poales; Poaceae
Description: lncRNA OsGoSa_01g0015370
Source: RNAcentral
GACCGGAAGCGCCGCCACGGCAGGUGCACGGGCUACCGCCGGUGGACGUCGCCGCCGCCGUAGUAGGGGCACGUCGCCAACGCCGCCCUCCGCGGCCGCUGCUGGAGUCGUCGCCGCCGCCGCAGGAGUCAACCGCCGCCGCAGGUGCACGUCGCCCCUGCCGCCGUGGGGGCACGUCGUCAACGCCGCCCCCUGCGCCCGUCGCCGCCGCCGCUGCAGGUGCUCGUCGCCCCUGCCGCCGACUCCUCAUGGUCCAGCGCAAGCCAAAGCUUCUCGAAUGCCAAGCAGGGUCGCCGCCGCCGCCGCCGCGCAGGGGCCGCUGUCGCCGCUGUGCCUUCAACGAGGCUGCCGCCGCCGUGCCUUCAGCGUGGCCACCGCCGCCCCGGCCGCGCACGGGCCGCCGCCGCACCGUCCAGAUCGGGAGGAAGGGUAGGGUUUUGCUA